AACAACCUCAUAACCGCCUCGCACGAACCCUCCCUAUAAAUCCCGCCCCACUCCCUCACUCCAUAUCCACUCCACUUCCCCUCUCUUUCUCUCUCUCUCUCUCUCUAGAAUUAUCCAACAACAAUGGCUUACUCUUUCCUCUACGCCCACAUCUACUUCACCCCCAUUCUCCUCCUCCUCCUCCUCCUCCUCGUCUCCUCCUCGUCUCCUCCUCCUCCUCCUCCUCUCGCCACCACAU
RNAcentral lists this long non-coding RNA (238 nucleotides) under Ananas comosus (pineapple). RNAcentral's name for it is "long non-coding RNA (ACOM_LNC023746)". Lineage: Eukaryota; Viridiplantae; Streptophyta; Magnoliopsida; Poales; Bromeliaceae. The record is from RNAcentral.